This 203-nucleotide ribosomal RNA is filed under the name uncultured bacterium. Its description in RNAcentral is "partial 16S ribosomal RNA". It matches the Rfam family "Bacterial small subunit ribosomal RNA", at positions 332 to 526 of the family's 1533-position model. The record is from RNAcentral.
AUUACUCCUACGGGAGGCAGCAGUAGGGAAUCUUCCACAAUGGGCGAAAGCCUGAUGGAGCAACGCCGCGUGAGUGAAGAAGGUUUUCGGAUCGUAAAACUCUGUUGUAAGGGAAGAACAAGUACAGUAGUAACUGGCUGUACCUUGACGGUACCUUAUUAGAAAGCCACGGCUAACUACGUGCCAGCAGCCGCGGUAAUAAU